RNAcentral lists this ribosomal RNA (467 nucleotides) under uncultured bacterium. RNAcentral describes it as "partial 16S ribosomal RNA". It matches the Rfam family "Bacterial small subunit ribosomal RNA", at positions 28 to 506 of the family's 1533-position model. The record is from RNAcentral.
GACGAACGCUGGCGGCGUGCUUAACACAUGCAAGUCGAACGGAAAGGCCCUGCGUUUGUGGGGUGCUCGAGUGGCGAACGGGUGAGUGACACGUGAGUAACCUGCCCUUGACUGUGGGAUAACUUCAGGGAACUGGGGCUAAUACCGCGGAGGAGCUACUGCUGCAUGGUGGUGGUUGGAAAGUUUCGGCGGUUGGGGCUGGACUCGAGGCUUAUGAGCUUGUUGGGGGGGUAGUGGCGUACCAAGGCUUUGACGGGUAGCCGGCCUGGGAGGGUGACCGGCCACAUUGGGCCUGAGAUACGGCCCAGACUCAUACGGCCGGCAUCAGUGGGGACUAUUCCACACUGCGCGGAGGCCGGAAGGAGCAACGUCGCGUCCGGGAGGACGGCGUUCGGGUUGUAACCAGCUUUCGCGUGUCACGACGCGUCAGUGCCGGUACUGGGCAAAGAAGCACGGCCUACCUCCGG